Molecule: transfer RNA, 71 nt
Filed under: Camelus bactrianus (Bactrian camel)
Lineage: Eukaryota; Metazoa; Chordata; Mammalia; Artiodactyla; Camelidae
Also listed under: 1 other name
Rfam family: tRNA
About the family: Transfer RNA (tRNA) molecules are approximately 80 nucleotides in length.
Source: Rfam by way of RNAcentral
GAGGGCGUAGCUCAGUGCAGAGCGUGUGCUUAGCAUGCAUGAGGUUCUGGGUUCAAUCCCCAGUCCCUCCA